Molecule: ribosomal RNA, 253 nt
Filed under: uncultured bacterium
Lineage: Bacteria
Description: partial 16S ribosomal RNA
Rfam family: Bacterial small subunit ribosomal RNA
Source: RNAcentral
AACGUAGGGCGCAAGCGUUAUCCGGAGUUACUGGGCGUAAAGCGCGGGCAGGCGGCUCGAAACGUCUGAUGUGAAAUCUCCUCGCUCAACGGGGAGAGGCCAUUGGAAACGGUCGGGCUGGAGGGCAGUAGAGGCAGGCGGAAUUCCGGGUGGAGUGGUGAAAUGCGUAGAGAUCCGGAGGAACACCAGAGGCGAAGGCGGCCUGCUGGGCUGCACCUGACGCUGAACCGCGAAAGCCAGGGGAGCGAACGGG